UUUGAAAUCUGACCCCCUGGGGCCCGAGUUGUAAUUUGGAGAGGAUGCCUCGGUGGAGGCCCCGGCCGAAGUGCCUUUGAACGGGCCGUCAGAGAGGGUGAGAACCCCGUCCGCGGUCGCCGGCCCCCACCGUGUGAGGCUCCUUCGACGAGUCGAGUUGUUUGGGAAUGCAGCUCUAAAUGGGAGGUAAAUUCCUUCCAAGGCUAAAUAUCCGCCAGAGACCGAUAGCGCACAAGUAGAGUGAUCGAAAGGUGAAAAGCACUUUGAAAAGAGGGUGAAACAGCACGUGAAAUUGUUGAAAGGGAAGCGCUUGCAACCAGAGUCGUCCGCGGGGGCUCCACCGACCCUCGGGCCCGGUGUACUCCCCCGCGGCCGAGCCAGCAUCAGCUCGGCCGGUCGGAUAAAGGCCGUGGGAAUGUGACACCCUCGGGUGUGUUAUAGCCCGCGGCACAAUACGGCCUGGCCGGGCUGAGGUCAGCGCCUUUGGCACGGAUGCUGGCGUAAUGGUUGUCAGCGGCCCGUCUUGAAACACGGACCAAGGAGUCUAACAUCUAUGCGAGUGUUCGGGUGUCAAACCCGUGAGCGGAAUGAAAGUGAACGGAGGUGGGAGCCCUCGGGCGCACCAUCGACCGAUCCGGAUGUCUUCGGAUGGAUUUGAGUAUGAGCAUAGCUGUUGGGACCCGAAAGAUGGUGAACUAUGCGUGAAUAGGGUGAAGCCAGAGGAAACUCUGGUGGAGGCUCGCAGCGGUUCUGACGUGCAAAUCGAUCGUCAAAUUUGCGCAUAGGGG
Molecule: ribosomal RNA, 788 nt
Filed under: Kirschsteiniothelia aethiops
Lineage: Eukaryota; Fungi; Ascomycota; Dothideomycetes; Kirschsteiniotheliales; Kirschsteiniotheliaceae
Description: LSU rRNA
Rfam family: Eukaryotic large subunit ribosomal RNA
Source: RNAcentral